UUAUUAAGAAUUUGAAAUACCCAUAGGAUUCAAUAUAUAUUGAUUUGACAUGAUGAAAUUUACAAGCAACUACUUAAAAUGUUUAAGAACAUUAAUUUAACCUCUAACAACAUUGUUUUAAAGAGAAGACACACAAGACUCCAACAGAUUUAUAAAUAAGAUAUAUCUGCAUUAACCGAAAAAAAAAUUGAGAGUAAAAUCACACCUAGCAGCUCUUAUGAAGGCCUAUGAUUUAUAUUAAAUGCAAUGUUCUUGAGAGUUUUUUUAAUUUUUGAAAUUGGAAUAAAGAAAGAAUUUGUUAA
Molecule: long non-coding RNA, 302 nt
Organism: Teleopsis dalmanni
Lineage: Eukaryota; Metazoa; Arthropoda; Insecta; Diptera; Diopsidae
Exons: 3
Source: RefSeq, a predicted model, not a curated record